Molecule: ribosomal RNA, 322 nt
Filed under: uncultured eukaryote
Lineage: Eukaryota
Description: partial 18S ribosomal RNA
Rfam family: Eukaryotic small subunit ribosomal RNA
Source: RNAcentral
CCCUUAGAUGUUCUGGGCCGCACGCGUGCUACACUGAGUGGAUCAGCGGGUCAGGUUGCGCGAAAGUGUUUCCUAAUCUUUAAAUCCGCUCGUGAUGGGGAUUGACGGUUGCAAUUUUCCGUCAUGAACGAGGAAUACCUUGUAAGCGCGGGUCAUCAUCCCGCGCUGAAUACGUCCCUGCCCUUUGUACACACCGCCCGUCGCUCCUACCGAUUGAGUGGUCCGGUGAGGCUUUGGGAUCUGAGCGGAAAGAGCGUUUCGCUGUUUCUGCCCGGAAAGCUCAGUCGAGCCUUAUCAUUUAGAGGAAGGAGAAGUCGUAACA